RNAcentral lists this ribosomal RNA (200 nucleotides) under uncultured bacterium. RNAcentral describes it as "partial 16S ribosomal RNA". The stretch from base 1 to 175 matches the Rfam family "Bacterial small subunit ribosomal RNA", at positions 580 to 754 of the family's 1533-position model. The record is from RNAcentral.
UUGUCGUGUCUGCGGUGAAAACUCGAGGCUUAACCUUGAGCUUGCCGUGGGUACUGGAAGACUUGAGUGCAGGAGAGGAAAGGGGAAUUCCCAGUGUAGCGGUGAAAUGCGUAGAUAUUGGGAGGAACACCAGUGGCGAAGGCGCCUUUCUGGACUGUGUCUGACGCUGAGAUGCGUCGACGCGGCCGAGUCGUGGAAGG